UGGUCGAGAGGUCCUGCGCCGAAAAUGUCCGGGGCUAAAACACGCCACCGAAGCUCAGGAAUUGAUGAAUGUCAAUUGGUAGAGGAGCAUUGUUAACGAGAUGAAGCAGUACCGGAAGGAGCUGUGGAUUGUUAAGAAGAGAGAAUGCCGGAAUGAGUAGCGAGAGGAAGGUGGGAAUCCUUCCGGCCGAAUAUCUGAGGUUUCCAGGGUAAAGCUGAUCUUCCCUGGGUAAGUCGGGGCCUAAGGCGAGGCUGAGAAGCGUAGCCGAUGGAUAACAGGUUGAGAUUCCUGUACCACAAUAUAACAGAACUGUGGGGACACACGUGGAAAGUAUGAGCCGGGAAUGAAAAGACCGGUGCAAGCGAGGUAGGAGGCGUACAGGCAAAUCCGUACGCUGAUCUGAAGGCGUGAUGCGGACCGAACAAGAGUAGGGAAGCAUAUGAGCCAUGUGUCAAGAAAAGCCGCUAUCGUUUAUAUUGUGCCCGUACCGCAAACCGACACAGGUAGAUGAGGAGAGAAUCCUAAGGCCGACGGGAGAAGCAUUGUUAAGGAACUCGGCAAAAUGACUCCGUAACUUCGGGAGAAGGAGUGCCAGGUAAGACUGGCCGCAGAGAAUUGGCCCAAGCAACUGUUUAGCAAAAACACAGGUCUAUGCAAAACCGAAAGGUGAGGUAUAUGGGCUGACGCCUGCCCGGUGCUGGAAGGUUAAGGGGAGAGGUUAGGGACAAUGUCCCGAAGCUUUGAACUUAAGCCCCAGUAAACGGCGGCCGUAACUAUAACGGUCCUAAGGUAGCGAAAUUCCUUGUCGGGUAAGUUCCGACCCGCACGAAAGGCGUAAUGAUUUGGGCGCUGUCUCGGCAAUGCAUCCGGUGAAAUUGAAGUGCCAGUGAAGAUGCUGGCUACCCGCGCCAGGACGGAAAGACCCCAUGGAGCUUUACUCCAGCUUGGCACUGGGGCCCGGUGCUGCACGUACAGGAUAGGUGGGAGGCGAAGAAAGGAGAGCGCAAGCCCUCCGGGAGCCGUCGUUGGGAUACCACCCCUGCAGUACUGGGUCUCUAACCCGCCGCCGUAAGCCGGCGGGGGGACAAUGCCAGGCGGGGAGUUUGACUGGGGCGGUCGCCUCCGAAAGGGUAUCGGAGGCGCCCAAAGGUUCCCUCAGAAUGGACGGAAACCAUUUGAAGAGUGCAAAGGCAGAAGGGAGCCUGACUGCGACGCCGACGGGCGGAGCAGGUACGAAAGUAGGGCUUAGUGAUCCGGUGGCAGAACGUGGGAUUGCCAUCGCUCAACGGAUAAAAGCUACCCUGGGGAUAACAGGCUUAUC
Molecule: ribosomal RNA, 1321 nt
Filed under: mouse gut metagenome
Description: bacterial LSU rRNA
Rfam family: Bacterial large subunit ribosomal RNA
Source: RNAcentral